RNAcentral lists this long non-coding RNA (223 nucleotides) under Elaeis guineensis (African oil palm). RNAcentral's name for it is "long non-coding RNA (EGUI_LNC047688)". Lineage: Eukaryota; Viridiplantae; Streptophyta; Magnoliopsida; Arecales; Arecaceae. The record is from RNAcentral.
CACCUCAUAAACUUCAUCAAAUUCAAUUUUAUAGACAUUAGCUCCUUCACCAAGGAACUCCUUUUCCAAAAAGACUAUCCGACUGCUGACAAACAUCAUUUAUUCUACAGCGUGGUAGAAGUAGUACCCUUUAAUUUUCUUUGGGUAUCCUAUAAAUAAGUAUCUAUCGGACUUCGAUCCAAGCUUAUCUGUCUUUAAAUGCUUGUCAUAAGCUGGACACCCC